ACGAAGAAAGUGACGGUACCUGAGGAAUAAGCCACGGCUAACUACGUGCCAGCAGCCGCGGUAAUACGUAGGUGGCAAGCGUUAUCCGGAAUGAUUGGGCGUAAAGGGUGCGCAGGCGGUCCUGCAAGUCUGGAGUGAAACGCAUGAGCUCAACUCAUGCAUGGCUUUGGAAACUGGAGGACUGGAGAGCAGGAGAGGGCGGUGGAACUCCAUGUGUAGCGGUAAAAUGCGUAGAUAUAUGGAAGAACACCAGUGGCGAAGGCGGCCGCCUGGCCUGUUGCUGACGCUGAGGCACGAAAGCGUGGGGAGCAAAUAGGAUUAGAUACCCUAGUAGUCCACGCCGUAAACGAUGAGGACCAAGUGUUGGGGGUGAAACCUCAGUGCUGAAGUUAACGCAGUGAGUCCUCCGCCUGGGGAGUAUGCACGCAAGUGUG
This 434-nucleotide ribosomal RNA is filed under the name uncultured bacterium. Its description in RNAcentral is "bacterial SSU rRNA". It matches the Rfam family "Bacterial small subunit ribosomal RNA", at positions 460 to 896 of the family's 1533-position model. The record is from RNAcentral.